Molecule: long non-coding RNA, 547 nt
Organism: Ceratina calcarata
Lineage: Eukaryota; Metazoa; Arthropoda; Insecta; Hymenoptera; Apidae
Exons: 2
Source: RefSeq, a predicted model, not a curated record
AAAACCGAAAUUCUUGGUGCACCAGAUUUGUACAUCAAUCGGGGUAGUACGAUCAAUCUGACGUGCGUUGUCCUCCUAAGUCCGGAGCCACCAGCUUACAUAUUUUGGAAUCAUAACGACGCCCUUUUAUCCCGAGACGUACGUUGUUCCUUCGUGGAACUACACUUCCGCGAAGCAAGUAGUUCCGCGCAAAAGAACAGGCCAUAAAGCAGCGAUAGAGUGAAACACCGAUUUUUAAUAACCGUGACAUAGUUAACCGCUAAACUGUCUUGACUGAUAAUGGCUGCAUAGAAGACACCAUUAAGCACAUUAAGUCUGACCAACAGCCUUGGGAGUAGGUUCGCACAGAUCCGACGAGCUUCAAGAUGAAUUUCACGCCGCGUGUGACUAACGCAUGUGGAUGUUGUUCACGAGACAACGGGGACCCGAGUAAUUUGCGAAACGGUAGAUCCAAACUAAACUUUAACGACUAUACCCAGAAAUUAGUCCAUGAACGAAUGUUAAUGUAUCUGUAUUAGUGAAUAAAAAUGUCCAGUUUCAUUUAUGA